RNAcentral lists this ribosomal RNA (465 nucleotides) under uncultured bacterium. RNAcentral describes it as "partial 16S ribosomal RNA". It matches the Rfam family "Bacterial small subunit ribosomal RNA", at positions 28 to 507 of the family's 1533-position model. The record is from RNAcentral.
GACGAACGCUGGCGGCGUGCUUAACACAUGCAAGUCGAACGGAAAGGCCACUUUGGGGGUACUCGAGUGGCGGACGGGUGCGUAACACGUGAGUAACCUGCCCUUGACUUCGGGAUAACUUCAGGAAACUGGGGCUAAUACCGGAUAGGAAUCCUUGCUGCAUGGUGGGGGUUGGAAAGCUUCGGCGGUUUUGGGUGGACUCGCGGCUUAUCAGCUUGUUGGUGGGGUAGUGGCUUACGAAGGCUUUGACGGGUAGCCGGCCUGAGAGGGCGACCGGCCACAUUGGGACUGAGAGACGGCGCAGACGCCUACGGGAGGCAGCAGUGGGGAAUCUUGCACAAUGGGCGGAAGUCUGAUGCAGCAACGCCGCGGGCGGGAUGACGGCCUGCGGGUUGUAAACCGCUUUCAGCAGGGGCGAAGCUUGUGGUGACGGUACCUGCAGAAGAAGCACCGGCUAACUACGUG